UCAGUGCUGGUUCUGGCUACGUUGAUGCCAAUCGCCAUGGGCCGCCGACCAACGGAACCUACUUGUUUGCCAGUCAUGUUUUCGUGCGUAGAAGAUGAAGAAUGCUGCAGCAAUUAUUGCAAAUACAAAGACCCUCGUAUAGUGCCACAGUGUGCGGAACACAUAGGUCGUCUCUCUCCCGGCACUGAAGUCUGGAACCACACGCUCCGCAAGUAUCAAGACUUACUUGGUGGGUUCAUCAGGUCCCAACAGUCGGGUAAUCGCUUUCUCGAUGGUACGGACUCAGAGGUACCACGUUCAGAGGUACCACGUUCAGAGGUACCACGUUCAGAGGUACCACGUUCAGAGGUACCACGUUCAGAGGUACCACGUUCAGAGGUACCACGUACAGAGGUACAGACUCAGAGACGAAGAGUGUUUGAAGCCUCAGAUGACAGGCCUCUCAAGUCUCAUACACCGGGUGGAAGGUCUCUCAGGUCUUUUGUCUGACGUCACGCGACCGGGACGUUACGGGUCUUACGCCUCAAGUGUCGUGUGACAGUUCUAUCCAGUUAAGCUCACAAAUAAAACGCCUUAUUAAGUA
Molecule: long non-coding RNA, 583 nt
Organism: Ornithodoros turicata
Lineage: Eukaryota; Metazoa; Arthropoda; Arachnida; Ixodida; Argasidae
Exons: 2
Source: RefSeq, a predicted model, not a curated record